CCUACGGGUGGCUGCAGUGAGGAAUAUUGGUCAAUGGGCGUAAGCCUGAACCAGCCAAGUCGCGUGAGGGAUGAAGGCUCUAUGGAUCGUAAACCUCUUUUAUAAGGGAAUAAAGUGCGGGACGUGUCCCGUUUUGUAUGUACUUUAUGAAUAAGGAUCGGCUAACUCCGUGCCAGCAGCCGCGGUAAUACGGAGGAUCCGAGCGUUAUCCGGAUUUAUUGGGUUUAAAGGGUGCGUAGGCGGGCUUUUAAGUCAGGUGUGAAAGUCUGUGGCUCAACCGUAGAAUUGCAAUUGAUACUGGGAGUCUUGAGUAUGUUUGAGGGAGGCGGAAUGCGUGGUGUAGCGGUGAAAUGCGUAGAUAUCACGCAGAACCCCGAUUGCGAAGGCAGCCUGUCAAGCCAUUACUGACGCUGAUGCACGAAAGCGUGGGGAUCAAACAGGAUUAGAUACCCCAGUAGUC
This 460-nucleotide ribosomal RNA is filed under the name uncultured bacterium. Its description in RNAcentral is "partial 16S ribosomal RNA". It matches the Rfam family "Bacterial small subunit ribosomal RNA", at positions 338 to 795 of the family's 1533-position model. The record is from RNAcentral.